GUCAAAUGCUGCUGAGACGUAAAACAUGAUGAAGUCCAAGAAUUGACUGGAGGGUCUGGAUGGCCGAUACUAGGCAUGCAUGUGCAUACAGAAAAGAGAGUAACCCAAUAGUGAGGAAGAAAUUGAUGCUGCAGGAGAGAGGGAAUAAUUGCCGAAGCAAAGAUCUUGAGGUACUGAGAAAGGAUGACCCUAAUUUCCUUAAUGCUGCACCAGGAGGAUACCUCAGCCCCUGUAAUGGAAUUAAAGAAAUAUUGGAGCUGAUUCUGGUCCACCAAGAAGGGGAUGUGUUUCAG
RNAcentral lists this long non-coding RNA (293 nucleotides) under Homo sapiens (human). RNAcentral's name for it is "HSALNT0316351". The record is from RNAcentral. Lineage: Eukaryota; Metazoa; Chordata; Mammalia; Primates; Hominidae.